RNAcentral lists this long non-coding RNA (299 nucleotides) under Brassica napus (rape). RNAcentral describes it as "long non-coding RNA (BNAP_LNC012141)". Lineage: Eukaryota; Viridiplantae; Streptophyta; Magnoliopsida; Brassicales; Brassicaceae. The record is from RNAcentral.
ACCUCAAAACAUUACUUAGCUCCUAAUAACUUUGCUAGCCCCCUUUUUCUUUCUUUUUCUUUUCUUUUUAUAUUUUAUUUCUCUUCUUUUUUCUUUUUAGAUGCGGGCCAAGACUUUUCAUAACUUGAGCUAGAGGUUUUUUUUUACUUAUCCCAAUAAGACAAUUCACUUAAACACAAAGAGUCAUUUCUUUUCCUUUUUCAUUGCUCCCUAAUCAUAAUCACAACUCUCACUCCCCACCUAUAGCUACACAAUAGAGUGCCCAAUCUAGCAAGAAUGAAGAUCAAGCAUUGUCGUUC